ACACUGCUGGUUCAGUGGCAGAAUCCUUGUCUUCCACGUGGGAGACCUGGGUUCGAUUUCCAGACAGUGUA
RNAcentral lists this transfer RNA (71 nucleotides) under Loxodonta africana (African savanna elephant). It matches the Rfam family "tRNA". From Rfam's summary of the family: Transfer RNA (tRNA) molecules are approximately 80 nucleotides in length. Their secondary structure includes four short double-helical elements and three loops (D, anti-codon, and T loops). Further hydrogen bonds mediate the characteristic L-shaped molecular structure. tRNAs have two regions of fundamental functional importance: the anti-codon, which is responsible for specific mRNA codon recognition, and the 3' end, to which the tRNAs corresponding amino acid is attached (by aminoacyl-tRNA synthetases). tRNAs cope with the degeneracy of the genetic code in two manners: having more than one tRNA (with a specific anti-codon) for a particular amino acid; and 'wobble' base-pairing, i.e. permitting non-standard base-pairing at the 3rd anti-codon position. Lineage: Eukaryota; Metazoa; Chordata; Mammalia; Proboscidea; Elephantidae. The record is from Rfam by way of RNAcentral.